UGAGGAAUAUUGGUCAAUGGACGAGAGUCUGAACCAGCCAAGUAGCGUGAAGGAUGACUGCCCUAUGGGUUGUAAACUUCUUUUGUAUGGGAAUAAAGAUUGCCACGUGUGGCAAGUUGCAUGUACCUUACGAAUAAGCAUCGGCUAAUUCCGUGCCAGCAGCCGCGGUAAUACGGAAGAUGCGAGCGUCAUCCGGAUUUAUUGGGUUUAAAGGGAGCGUAGGCGGGCUGUUAAGUCAGCGGUAAAAUCGUGCGGCUCAACCGUACCAUGCCGUUGAAACUGGCAGUCUUGAGUGCAGUCAAGGCAGAUGGAAUUCGUGGUGUAGCGGUGAAAUGCUUAGAUAUCACGAAGAACUCCGAUAGCGAAGGCAGUCUGCUGGAGUGUAACUGACACUGAGGCUCGAAAGUGUGGGUAUCGAACAGG
Molecule: ribosomal RNA, 423 nt
Filed under: uncultured prokaryote
Also listed under: 1 other name
Description: bacterial SSU rRNA
Rfam family: Bacterial small subunit ribosomal RNA
Source: RNAcentral